Molecule: ribosomal RNA, 467 nt
Filed under: uncultured bacterium
Lineage: Bacteria
Description: partial 16S ribosomal RNA
Rfam family: Bacterial small subunit ribosomal RNA
Source: RNAcentral
GACGAACGCUGGCGGUGUGCUUAACACAUGCAAGUCGAACGGAAAGGCCCUGCUUUUGUGGGGUGCUCGAGUGGCGAACGGGUGAGUAACACGUGAGUAACCUGCCCUUGACUUUGGGAUACUUCAGGAAACUGGGGCUAAUACCGGAUAGGAGCUCCUGCUGCAUGGCGGGGGUUGGAAAGUUUCGGCGGUUGGGGAUGGACUCGCGGCUUAUCAGCUUGUUGGUGGGGUAGUGGCUUACCAAGGCUUUGACGGGUAGCCGGCCUGAGAGGGUGACCGGCCACAUUGGGACUGAGAUACGGCCCAGACUCCUACGGGAGGCAGCAGUGGGGAAUAUUGCACAAUGGGCGGAAGCCUGAUGCAGCAACGCCGCGUGCGGGAUGACGGCCUUCGGGUUGUAAACCGCUUUCGCCUGUGACGAAGCGUGAGUGACGGUAAUGGGUAAAGAAGCACCGGCUAACUACGUG